UACGGGGGGGGCAAGCGUUGUUCGGAAUUACUGGGCGUAAAGGGUUUGUAGGUGGCUCGCUAAGUCAGACGUGAAAUCCCUCAGCUUAACUGGGGAACUGCGUCUGAGACUGGCAAGCUUGAGUGCAGGAGAGGAACGCGGAAUUCCGGGUGUAGCGGUGAAAUGCGUAGAUAUCUGGAGGAACACCGGUGGCGAAGGCGGCGUUCUGGACUGUAACUGACACUGAUGAACGAAAGCCAGGGGAGCAAACGGG
This 253-nucleotide ribosomal RNA is filed under the name uncultured bacterium. Its description in RNAcentral is "partial 16S ribosomal RNA". It matches the Rfam family "Bacterial small subunit ribosomal RNA", at positions 524 to 776 of the family's 1533-position model. The record is from RNAcentral.